UGCAAGUCGAACGCGUUGGCCCAAUUGAUUGAUGGUGCUUGCACCUGAUUGAUUUUGGYCKCCAACRAGUGGCGGACGGGUGAGUAACACGUAGGUAACCUGCCCAGAAGCGGGGGACAACAUUUGGAAACAGAUGCUAAUACCGCAUAACAACGUUGUUCGCAUGAACAACGCUUAAAAGAUGGCUUCUCGCUAUCACUUCUGGAUGGACCUGCGGUGCAUUAGCUUGUUGGUGGGGUAACGGCCUACCAAGGCGAUGAUGCAUAGCCGAGUUGAGAGACUGAUCGGCCACAAUGGGACUGAGACACGGCCCAUACUCCUACGGGAGGCAGCAGUAGGGAAUCUUCCACAAUGGGCGCAAGCCUGAUGGAGCAACACCGCGUGAGUGAAGAAGGGYUUCGGCUCGUAAAGCUCUGUUGUUAAAGAAGAACACGUAUGAGAGUAACUGUUCAUACGUUGACGGUAUUUAACCAGAAAGUCACGGCUAACUACGUGCCAGCAGCCGCGGUAAUACGUAGGUGGCAAGCGUUAUCCGGAUUUAUUGGGCGUAAAGAGAGUGCAGGCGGUUUUCUAAGUCUGAUGUGAAAGCCUUCGGCUUAACCGGAGAAGUGCAUCGGAAACUGGAUAACUUGAGUGCAGAAGAGGGUAGUGGAACUCCAUUGUUWAGCGGGUGA
Molecule: ribosomal RNA, 674 nt
Filed under: Limosilactobacillus fermentum
Lineage: Bacteria; Bacillati; Bacillota; Bacilli; Lactobacillales; Lactobacillaceae
Description: bacterial SSU rRNA
Rfam family: Bacterial small subunit ribosomal RNA
Source: RNAcentral